UACAGAGGUCUCAAGCGUUGUUCGGAUUCAUUGGGCGUAAAGGGUGUGUAGGUGGCGCCGUAAGUCAGGUGUGAAAUUUCGGAGCUUAACUCCGAAACUGCAUUUGAUACUGCGGUGCUUGAGGACUGGAGAGGAGACUGGAAUUUACGGUGUAGCAGUGAAAUGCGUAGAUAUUGGGAGGAACACCGAUGGCGUAGGCAGGGUACUGGGCUGUUGCUGACACUAAGGCACGAAAGCGUGGGGAGCGAACGGG
This 253-nucleotide ribosomal RNA is filed under the name uncultured bacterium. Its description in RNAcentral is "partial 16S ribosomal RNA". It matches the Rfam family "Bacterial small subunit ribosomal RNA", at positions 524 to 776 of the family's 1533-position model. The record is from RNAcentral.